UAGGGAAUCUUCGGCAAUGGACGAAAGUCUGACCGAGCAACGCCGCGUGAGUGAAGAAGGUUUUCGGAUCGUAAAACUCUGUUGUUAGAGAAGAACAAGGACGUUAGUAACUGAACGUCCCCUGACGGUAUCUAACCAGAAAGCCACGGCUAACUACGUGCCAGCAGCCGCGGUAAUACGCAGGUGGCAAGCGUUGUCCGGAUUUAUUGGGCGUAAAGCGAGCGCAGGCGGUUUCUUAAGUCUGAUGUGAAAGCCCCCGGCUCAACCGGGGAGGGUCAUUGGAAACUGGGAGACUUGAGUGCAGAAGAGGGGAGUGGAAUUCCAUGUGUAGCGGUGAAAUGCGUAGAUAUAUGGAGGAACACCAGUGGCGAAGGCGGCUCUCUGGUCUGUAACUGACGCUGAGGCUCGAAAGCGUGGGGAGCAAACAGG
This 429-nucleotide ribosomal RNA is filed under the name Gemmatimonadota bacterium. Its description in RNAcentral is "Gemmatimonadetes bacterium partial 16S ribosomal RNA". It matches the Rfam family "Bacterial small subunit ribosomal RNA", at positions 355 to 776 of the family's 1533-position model. Lineage: Bacteria; Pseudomonadati; Gemmatimonadota. The record is from RNAcentral.